UUUUUAAUUGAAAUCUUGAAUGAAUGGUUGGACAAAAGAAAUACUGUCUUUGCAUUAAAAAUUGAAUUUAACUUUUAAGUGAAAAGGCUUAAAUGUUCUAGAAAGACGAUAAGACCCUAUAAAGCUUUACAUUUAAAUUAAUUUCUUAUUUAAUUUUGGAAAUAAAGAUUUGAUUUAGUUAUUUUUGUUUUGUUGGGGAGACAAUAGCAAAAUUUUUGUUAACUGCUAAAUUAUUAAACAGUGAUGAGUGUAUAAAUAUAUUAAUAGAUCCUUUUUAAAGACUGAAAGAUUAAGUUACUUUAGGGAUAACAGCGUUAUUUCUUUUGAGAGUUCGUAUCGAAAAAGAGGAUUGCGACCUCGAUGUUGGAUUAAAAUAUCUUUAUAAUGCAGCUGUUAUAAGAGAAAGUCUGUUCGACUUUUAAAUUUUUAC
RNAcentral lists this ribosomal RNA (430 nucleotides) under Marojejy longimerus. Its description in RNAcentral is "partial 16S ribosomal RNA". The stretch from base 305 to 430 matches the Rfam family "Bacterial large subunit ribosomal RNA", at positions 2473 to 2599 of the family's 2925-position model. The record is from RNAcentral. Lineage: Eukaryota; Metazoa; Arthropoda; Malacostraca; Decapoda; Deckeniidae.